ACGUAGGGUGCAAGCGUUAAUCGGAAUUACUGGGCGUAAAGCGUGCGCAGGCGGUUAUGCAAGACAGAGGUGAAAUCCCCGGGCUCAACCUGGGAACUGCCUUUGUGACUGCAUGGCUAGAGUGCGGCAGAGGGGGAUGGAAUUCCGCGUGUAGCAGUGAAAUGCGUAGAUAUCAGGAGGAACACCGAUGGCGAAGGCAGGUCUCUGGGCUGACACUGACGCUCA
Molecule: ribosomal RNA, 225 nt
Filed under: uncultured prokaryote
Description: partial 16S ribosomal RNA
Rfam family: Bacterial small subunit ribosomal RNA
Source: RNAcentral